CAAGCGGUGGAGUAUGUGGUUUAAUUCGAUGCAACGCGAAGAACCUUACCUGGUCUUGACAUCCCGGAGACCCUUAGGAAACUAGGGGGUGCUUCCAUCUGGAAGAAUCUGGAGACAAGGUGCUGCAUGGCUGUCGUCAGCUCGUGCGUGAGAUGUUGGGUUAAGUCCCGCAACGAGCGCAACCCUUGCCUUUAGUUGCCAGCAGUUCGGCUGGGCACUCUAAAGGGACUGCCGGUGUUAAACCGGAGGAAGGUGGGGAUGACGUCAAGUCAUCAUGGCCCUUACGGCCUGGGCUACACACGUGCUACAAUGGUCGGUACAAAGGGCUGCCAAGCCGCGAGGUGGAGCUAAUCCCAUAAAACCGAUCGUAGUCCGGAUCGCAGUCUGCAACUCGACUGCGUGAAGUCGGAAUCGCUAGUAAUCGUGAAUCAGAAUGUCACGGUGAAUACGUUCCCGGGCCUU
RNAcentral lists this ribosomal RNA (462 nucleotides) under uncultured Pseudomonas sp. Its description in RNAcentral is "bacterial SSU rRNA". It matches the Rfam family "Bacterial small subunit ribosomal RNA", at positions 926 to 1382 of the family's 1533-position model. Lineage: Bacteria; Pseudomonadati; Pseudomonadota; Gammaproteobacteria; Pseudomonadales; Pseudomonadaceae. The record is from RNAcentral.